Molecule: ribosomal RNA, 253 nt
Filed under: uncultured bacterium
Lineage: Bacteria
Description: partial 16S ribosomal RNA
Rfam family: Bacterial small subunit ribosomal RNA
Source: RNAcentral
UACGUAGGGUCCAAGCGUUAAUCGGAAUUACUGGGCGUAAAGCGUGCGCAGGCGGUUGUGUAAGCCAGAUGUGAAAUCCCCGGGCUUAACCUGGGAAUGGCAUUUGGGACUGCACGGCUAGAGUACGGCAGAGGAGACUAGAAUUCCUGGUGUAGCAGUGAAAUGCGUAGAUAUCAGGAGGAAUACCGAUGGCGAAGGCAGGUCUCUGGGUCGAUACUGACGCUCAUGCACGAAAGCAUGGGGAGCAAAAGGG